This 253-nucleotide ribosomal RNA is filed under the name uncultured bacterium. RNAcentral describes it as "partial 16S ribosomal RNA". It matches the Rfam family "Bacterial small subunit ribosomal RNA", at positions 524 to 776 of the family's 1533-position model. The record is from RNAcentral.
GACGUAGGGGGCCAGCGUUGUUCGGAAUUACUGGGUGUAAAGGGUUCGUAGGCGGUGCGGCAAGUCGGGAGUGAAAUCUCUGGGCUCAACCCAGAGGCUGCUUCCGAAACUGCUGUGCUUGAGUGUGGGAGAGGCGCGUGGAAUUGCAGGUGUAGCGGUGAAAUGCGUAGAUAUCUGCAGGAACACCCGUGGCGAAAGCGGCGCGCUGGACCACUACUGACGCUGAAGAACGAAAGCUAGGGGAACAAACAGG